RNAcentral lists this long non-coding RNA (2915 nucleotides) under Citrus x clementina. Its description in RNAcentral is "Citrus clementina (C. clementina) long non-coding RNA (CCLE_LNC001164)". The record is from RNAcentral. Lineage: Eukaryota; Viridiplantae; Streptophyta; Magnoliopsida; Sapindales; Rutaceae.
CUAGAUUUUAGAGGGCAUUAAAAGUUCUAUGCAGCAAAACUUUUUCUCGUUGGCCCAGUUUGGUAAUGUAGGCCCAGGUUUAGGCCCCAGCCUGAAAGUCCAUACCAGUAAAAAUAGAUUUUAUUUGAUUUUAGGCGCAGAGAGAACGUACUUCCAAACAAGCACUUUUCUAACGACACUCGCGAACUUAAUUAAUUGAUAUUAUGAGGCCCGAACCGGUUUCCCUAAUGAUGUGUUUAACCUAAUGUAAGCGACUAAGCUUUUAAGCACGUGUGGAGCUGGACGGCUCGCCAAUCAGCGACAGAUUUACUGGAAUUUUUGGUCUUAUCUAAAGGUAAGGUCGGCGUAAACCAUUUGCAUUGAUAAGAUUGAGAUAAUUACUUAUUAUCUUGAAAACUCUUUAUGUUUCAUUUUUCUAGUGGUUCAAAAACACUAUCAUAAAACCUUUUAAGUUUUUCAGUUAAUCAAUUAUUUUAAUGAUAACAGUAGAGUUACAAAUAAUUUUGUAUAAACUAACGUAUAUUGGUUGAAAAAUAAAUAAUAAUAAUAAUUUUUUAAUUUCAUGGGCCUGAUGACAGUUUUAUAUUUAUUUGUGGAUUUUCGUUUCUAUCUAUAAUUUGGCCUGCGCAUCAACAUGAAUUUAAUUGUUGGAUUAAUAUCAAUUAAUAUAUUGGUCGUUCUUUAAUUUUUUGAACUUAAAUUUUUAGCUCCUGUAUUUGAUAAUCUCAUUUUUUGCACAAAAAGUUUCUUCUAAUUUGAGCUUCAUGCAUUUAAAAGGAACUAGAAACUUUAAAAAAAGAUUACCAAGGAUUGUUGUUAGAAGCAUUUUUAACUUAAUUCAUGAUGGCUGCAUUGUAAAAAUUGCAAGUUAAUCAUAUCUGUCUGCCUUCUCUGAAACUAGAAAAGUUAAUAAGCAGCAACUUCAAGCCAUAGGCGUCGCCACAAACAGUGGCACCAGUAGCGGCUUCAAGGCCAAGAGCAUUGUCAUGAUUGGCUGGACGCAAGUAGCAAAUGGACACGAGCAGCGGCACCAACAGCGACAUGGUCUGUGUGCAGCGAGUUAGGGAAUUAAGGGUUUGUGAUUUUUUUUUGAUAGGUUUUUAGUUUAAUCGAUUUAGUGUCUUAUAUUUGUAAUUUUUGGACAAGGUCUUUUAGGUAAAUUCACCAAAUUUUUAAGGGAAUAAACUGAGUUCACCUUUUAAUUAUUUAACCAAACUGAAUCCAUUAAUAAUUUAGGGUUUAAGUCAUAGGCGGUGCCACGUUGGGACUAGGGGGCUUGACUUUCAAAAUUUACAAAUUUAAUUAAAUAUUUGUCUCAUUUAUUAUAAAAGUCCCUAUUAAAAUUAAAAAAAUAAUCAAAAUAUUAAGUAUUUAUCUUUAACUUCCAACCCACAAAGAAAUUAUUAUUUUGAGAUUCGUUGCACGCUAACUCUCCUCACACAAAAAAACAGAAAUUAUUUUAUCUUAUUGAGUUUAUCAAAAUAAUUUUUCUUCAAUAAAUCUUAUGACACUUAAAAUUCAAUUUGAUAUUUACAUUAUAUAAGUGGGUUCUAAUAACAAAUUUUCAAAAUUGAAAGAGAUUGAUAGGUUAACAAGAAAAAUAGUUGAUAUUAAAAAAGAUAAAUUGUAUUCAUUAAUUUAUUUAUCGAUAACAUUAGCAUUGAAUUUACUAGUUGUCAUAACUACAGUAGUAAAAGGCGUUUUCAACUAUGAAUUUUGUGAAAAAUCGUCUGUGAAAUCAUAUUAAAGAUUAAUAAUUGAGUAAUAUUAUUAUUACACAUGUAGAAAAAGAUUUAUUUUGUGUUCUUGAUGAUAAAUUUAUUUUUUAACGUUUUUAACAUAUGAAAACACGUCGAGAUCAAUUAUAAAUGUAUUGAAUAUGUUAGUGAAUUUUUAUUUUUGAUACUUAUUAUUUAUUGACUUUUUUUAAAUUGCAAUAUUUUUUUAAUUUCUAGCACCGCCACUCGUUUAAGUGUUAUUUUCAAAAUAUUAGGAACUUUUAUAUCUCUUUUCCUAAACAUAUGGGAUCUAUUAGUCUUUUUCCCUUUAUAAUAUUCAACAUAGGUACUAGCUGCUAGCUAGCAAUUCAAUUGAAAGCUAAUUUGCUUGUAAUUGAUGCCCUAAACAAGCCGCGGCCGGAUUAUUAAAAUGUUAAUUCCCCAACAAAACCAAGUGCCUCAAUCCAUAAUAUCCACUUUACGCCGUUGCUAAUCUUUGUUAACCACGUACGUCAACUAACCUCAAAAACAUAAUUUGAUUAUUCUAACUACACUCUAAUUUGAUUCCCUUACGUUACGCCGAUUUUGCUGAUUCCCAUAUAAACUAAUAUUGUUAAGAAAAUUUAAAGCAACUAAACGGAUCACUUUAUGUUGUAUACAUUGCCUUUACACGUAGGGCGCAUUUUACGCAGCCAAUUAGCUGCACAUUAUCUCGCAUGAUUAGCUUAAAGAAGCAUAUGUUUAUGUAACUAUAAGCUUAUCUUCUUAAUGCCACUUGCCCGUACGAAUAAAAUGAGCUUCACUUUUUCUCCAAGUUGGAUUGAUGCCUUUGUGUUCUUUUAAGCAGCACGAAUAUUCCAGAGAAGUAUGCCUUGCUAGUCAUUUGUAACUAUCAAAAUUGUGAUAAUGGAUUCGCGAGAUAUGAAUUGUAAGUAAUUUGUCCAUGAAUGCUUAAAUAAUAAUUAUAAAAGGCAAUAUCAAUAGAUGGAUCACUCAUAUUCGCUGAAAAAGCUUGGAAUUGCCCCUAACUCACGAUAAGAUUUUGAAAAUAAGUUAAAUUUAUGAACUUAAUUAAUUUACUGCUGUAUGACAAGAUAAAAAAGACCAGAUUGUGAGUGAUGUGGAUAUUUUUGAAAAAAAAAAAAUUACAUAUUGAGAGUGUAACAUAGAUAGGGCCACGAGUUCCUUCCGAUGAAA